Molecule: transfer RNA, 76 nt
Filed under: Toxocara canis (dog roundworm)
Lineage: Eukaryota; Metazoa; Nematoda; Chromadorea; Rhabditida; Toxocaridae
Rfam family: tRNA
About the family: Transfer RNA (tRNA) molecules are approximately 80 nucleotides in length. Their secondary structure includes four short double-helical elements and three loops (D, anti-codon, and T loops).
Source: Rfam by way of RNAcentral
GCGGCAAUAGCUCAGUGGUAGAGAGAACCCAGGCUUCGCGCGCGGGGAGGCCCGGGUUCGAUUCCCGGCUGCUCCC